RNAcentral lists this small RNA (831 nucleotides) under Pan troglodytes (chimpanzee). Its description in RNAcentral is "pseudogene". Lineage: Eukaryota; Metazoa; Chordata; Mammalia; Primates; Hominidae. The record is from RNAcentral.
AGAAUGUUAACCCCCUGGCAUGUAUCUAGUCAGCGGAGGCGACGGCUGCUGCUAAACACCUUACAAUCCACGGGAGGGCCCCUCCCCUACCCCGAAGUAGCCAUUCCGCAGAGGUGGAGAGACUCGCGUGUAGCUCAAUACCCACGCACUUAGCCGAUGGGAAAUCACGAAUUGAUGACCAGUUGGCUCUUGGAUCUGAGGAAAAAUCUCCAGCGUCAGAGGGAACUCUCGAAGUUUUGCCCGGAGCAAACGGAAGGGUGGCGUUGCCAUCGCCUAAGAUGGGAAAAUGGCAGGUGUCACAGGUUGCAGGGGAAGGUCGGAGACCAGCUGAGGGCCCCGGAGCCUUCCUGGAAAGAGUUUCCCAUCCAGCCCGUCUCGGUUUCCGCAUCCGUCGGAUUCCUUAUGACGUUGAGGGUGCUGGCGUCUGGGUCCUUUAUGAUGCAGAGGGUGCCCCCGUCUCACCCCGGGCGCCUCCGCGCUCCCGCCUCCUCCUGGCAACCUGGUGCGCGGCUCCGGACCCGGCGACCCACGACCGGCUGGUCACUUGCUGCCGCCUCGCAAAGGCGCAUCUCUAGUCCAGUGGUGAGCUGCGGCCGGGUCGCUGCAACUCGCUCCAGGACUCGGGACUCGUGGCCUUGGUGUCCCUCGCGGAGCCCUCGGUGUGUCGCCUGCAGGCUCUUUUUUUGAAGAAAGCAGGGAGGGAAUGGCCUUGUGAGAGACUCCAGGAGCAAAGAGCGACCCUCACAAAGCCCAAGUCGUCCCAGAGCUCAGGGAAGCUGUCGCUUCUGACGGAAGAAGGGAGAGAAAGCUCCCUCCUGUGUGUCCCUGGUG